Ochlerotatus camptorhynchus is the source of this 716-nucleotide long non-coding RNA. RefSeq lists it as uncharacterized. The record is from RefSeq and is a predicted model, not a curated record. NCBI's taxonomy places the organism in Eukaryota, Metazoa, Arthropoda, Insecta, Diptera, Culicidae. The transcript has 3 exons.
ACCAAAUCAUAACAAAGUAUUUGGCAACACGGUGCCUUCUUUUGCCGCUAAAUUUGACUUGACGUCACUCAGACAAAGAGGUAGAAAAAGCUGGGACGGAAUUUUGAUCAAUUUCAAUUCAUCAAUCACAAGUACUUAAUUUAAGCAGGUUCCGCGGAAAACAUUUGCUUCAGGUAAGAGAUGAAAUGAAAAUACAUAUAGAGCAUUGGAAUUUAAUAAGAAACUGAUUAAUUUCAGGUAAAACGGAAACAAAUACUAUUAAAUUUUGUAGAAGAAAGCAUCGAGAAGACGGAUAUAACAAAAUAUCUCCCCGGGAAAGACAGUGUUGAGCUGUUCUAAUCGAGAAUCCAAAGUAAGAGCAAUGCCAUCAGUACAGCUCAUCGAUUUCCUCAACGAAAGCAACGUGAUCCUCAAUUGAACGGAAUCAUUCAACUCAACCCGCUGAAGAUCAAAAGCGAGCGCUGGAAAUCAUCAUCUCCUGCAAGUAUGAUGGAACGGCUCAGAAUGCAAGACCGUCCGAUUUAAUAUCUGAUGAAAAUGUACCGGGAACCGAUCAUGAUGCUAUUUGUUGGGUCAUCUUCUUCUGUACCUAUCCAUGCACCUAUCGCUAUCGCACUUGAACAUUGUGGUUCCUCUCAAAGUGGAGACAGCUCCAAUACCGAGGCCAAAACGUAAAAGAAAGCAUCACCAUCGAUAUCACAUAUUCUUGGAUCUUU